This is a long non-coding RNA of Aquila chrysaetos chrysaetos, 370 nucleotides long. RefSeq lists it as uncharacterized. The record is from RefSeq and is a predicted model, not a curated record. Lineage: Eukaryota; Metazoa; Chordata; Aves; Accipitriformes; Accipitridae. The transcript has 3 exons.
ACGGGCUGGUCGUUCUUGGUAAACUGAAUAACUUGGUCAAAGAAUGGAUUUCAGAACUUGGUGAGAGCAAGGUGCUGGUGAGAAAAGUCCACAGGCUGCAGAUUGCAGAUGGCCGCUAAUGUGCCGUGCAGCUGUGGCGCUGGCCACCCUGGCGUCCAUAGUCCUUCUGGCAGCUUUGGGUCACCUGGUUAAAUCGCUGCUGAAGAAUAGGAAACAAGAACCACAGCUUCCUCUUGUCAACGUUGCCUCAGAGACAGACGCAGCUACAAGUGAAGCCAAAGCAAAUUCAGAAAAAGAAAGAAAACUCACCCAAAUUGCCAUGGAAGCAGAAGAACUCGCCAAUAAGUGGACUUAGUACAAUAACUGAAGA